RNAcentral lists this small nucleolar RNA (65 nucleotides) under Gonium pectorale. Its description in RNAcentral is "Small nucleolar RNA Z105". It matches the Rfam family "Small nucleolar RNA Z105". From Rfam's summary of the family: This family consists of several snoRNA Z105 sequences which are members of the C/D class of snoRNA which contain the C (UGAUGA) and D (CUGA) box motifs. This family seems to be found exclusively in plants. C/D box small nucleolar RNAs are known to act as a methylation guides for 18S ribosomal RNA. The record is from Rfam by way of RNAcentral. Lineage: Eukaryota; Viridiplantae; Chlorophyta; Chlorophyceae; Chlamydomonadales; Volvocaceae.
CUGGCAGUGAGGAUACAUCUGUCUGAUCUUCAUGACGAGAAUAAUCAACCUCCUACUCAUUCUGA